Long non-coding RNA from Coregonus clupeaformis (lake whitefish), 539 nucleotides. RefSeq lists it as uncharacterized. The record is from RefSeq and is a predicted model, not a curated record. Lineage: Eukaryota; Metazoa; Chordata; Actinopteri; Salmoniformes; Salmonidae. The transcript has 2 exons.
CAACAACAAAAACGAUUAGAAUUUAAAAGUAAGUAUUGCACUCAAAAAGGUUUCCCUCCCCCUCCACCAAUACUCUGUCAGGCACCCUAAACAAAGGGAGUGAGCUCCCAGCCAGUCAGACAGCUUUGAGCCCAGUCACCCCUCCUCCCCUCUGGGCUGCUAGUAAACCUUCACACAGGCAGGCAGGCAGGCCAUCCCUUGGCUGCCACAGCUGCUGUACCGGUUAGGCCUACCCUUGGAAGAGCGACAGCCCCAAACUGCCCCCCACAACACACAGACACUGAAAAGGAGGCAGGGAGCAGAGCACUCUUUCGUUCUGUCUCUAUCUCUCUAACAUAUAGUAUAGCUACAGGACCACAACUAAUACCUCCUGGAAUAUUUAUCCAUAUUUACUAGAGAUGAACAGAGAAGAACUGCAAAACAAAAUAAACAAACUGGGACACAAUAAUCAUCAGCCCAAUUUCUGCUGACCCAGCAGUAACUCCAUCGCCUCAGCAACUCCUCUUCUCAGACAGACAGACAGACAGACAGGCAGGCAG